RNAcentral lists this ribosomal RNA (407 nucleotides) under uncultured bacterium. RNAcentral describes it as "partial 16S ribosomal RNA". It matches the Rfam family "Bacterial small subunit ribosomal RNA", at positions 355 to 774 of the family's 1533-position model. The record is from RNAcentral. RNAcentral also lists the same sequence under 1 other name.
UGGGGAAUAUUGCACAAUGGGCGAAAGCCUGAUGCAGCAACGCCGCGUGAGGGACGACGGCCUUCGGGUUGUAAACCUCUUUUAGCAAGGAAGAAGCGAAAGUGACGGUACUUGCAGAAAAAGCGCCGGCUAACUACGUGCCAGCAGCCGCGGUAAUACGUAGGGCGCAAGCGUUAUCCGGAAUUAUUGGGCGUAAAGAGCUCGUAGGCGGUUUGUCGCGUCUGCUGUGAAAACCCGAGGCUCAACCUCGGGCCUGCAGUGGGUACGGGCAGACUAGAGUGCGGUAGGGGAGAUUGGAACUCCUGGUGUAGCGGUGGAAUGCGCAGAUAUCAGGAAGAACACCGAUGGCGAAGGCAGAUCUCUGGGCCGUAACUGACGCUGAGGAGCGAAAGGGUGGGGAGCAAACA